ACACGUGGGUAACCUGCCUGUAAGACUGGGAUAACUCCGGGAAACCGGGGCUAAUACCGGAUAACUUCUUUCCUCGCAUGAGGAAAGAUUGAAAGAUGGCUUCGGCUAUCACUUACAGAUGGACCCGCGGCGCAUUAGCUAGUUGGUGAGGUAACGGCUCACCAAGGCGACGAUGCGUAGCCGACCUGAGAGGGUGAUCGGCCACACUGGGACUGAGACACGGCCCAGACUCCUACGGGAGGCAGCAGUAGGGAAUCUUCCGCAAUGGACGAAAGUCUGACGGAGCAACGCCGCGUGAGUGAUGAAGGUUUUCGGAUCGUAAAACUCUGUUGUUAGGGAAGAACAAGUAUCGUUCGAAUAGGGCGGUACCUUGACGGUACCUAACCAGAAAGCCACGGCUAACUACGUGCCAGCAGCCGCGGUAAUACGUAGGUGGCAAGCGUUGUCCGGAAUUAUUGGGCGUAAAGCGCGCGCAGGCGGUUUCUUAAGUCUGAUGUGAAAGCCCACGGCUCAACCGUGGAGGGUCAUUGGAAACUGGGAGACUUGAGUGCAGAAGAGGAGAGUGGAAUUCCACGUGUAGCGGUGAAAUGCGUAGAGAUGUGGAGGAACACCAGUGGCGAAGGCGACUCUCUGGUCUGUAACUGACGCUGAGGCGCGAAAGCGUGGGGAGCGAACAGGAUUAGAUACCCUGGUAGUCCACGCCGUAAACGAUGAGUGCUAAGUGUUAGAGGGUUUCCGCCCUUUAGUGCUGCAGCUAACGCAUUAAGCACUCCGCCUGGGGAGUACGGCCGCAAGGCUGAAACUCAAAGGAAUUGACGGGGGCCCGCACAAGCGGUGGAGCAUGUGGUUUAAUUCGAAGCAACGCGAAGAACCUUACCAGGUCUUGACAUCCUCUGACAACCCUAGAGAUAGGGCGUUCCCCUUCGGGGGACAGAGUGACAGGUGGUGCAUGGUUGUCGUCAGCUCGUGUCGUGAGAUGUUGGGUUAAGUCCCGCAACGAGCGCAACCCUUGACCUUAGUUGCCAGCAUUCAGUUGGGCACUCUAAGGUGACUGCCGGUGACAAACCGGAGGAAGGUGGGGAUGACGUCAAAUCAUCAUGCCCCUUAUGACCUGGGCUACACACGUGCUACAAUGGAUGGUACAAAGGGCUGCGAGACCGCGAGGUUAAGCCAAUCCCAUAAAACCAUUCUCAGUUCGGAUUGCAGGCUGCAACUCGCCUGCAUGAAGCCGGAAUCGCUA
Molecule: ribosomal RNA, 1240 nt
Filed under: Heyndrickxia shackletonii
Lineage: Bacteria; Bacillati; Bacillota; Bacilli; Caryophanales; Bacillaceae
Description: bacterial SSU rRNA
Rfam family: Bacterial small subunit ribosomal RNA
Source: RNAcentral